This 497-nucleotide ribosomal RNA is filed under the name uncultured bacterium. RNAcentral describes it as "partial 16S ribosomal RNA". It matches the Rfam family "Bacterial small subunit ribosomal RNA", at positions 28 to 507 of the family's 1533-position model. The record is from RNAcentral.
GACGAACGCUGGCGGCGUGCCUAAUACAUGCAAGUAGAACGCUGACGAGAGGAGCUUACUCUCCUUGGAUGAGUUGCGAACGGGUGAGUAACGCGUAGGUAACCUGCCUUGUAGCGGGGGAUAACUAUUGGAAACGAUAGCUACUACCGCAUCACAAUGGCUGACACAUGUAAUUUAUUUGAAAGGGGCAUUUGCUCCACUACAAGGUCGAUCUGCGUUGUAUUAGCUAGUAGGUGAGGUAAUGGCUCAACUAGGCGGCGAUACAUAGCCGAGCUGGGAGGGAGGUCGGGCACCAUGGGACUGGGGCACCGCCCAGGCUUCUACGGGGGGCAGCAGGAGGGAAACUUCGGCAAUGGGGGCAAACCUUACCGAACAACGCCGCGGGAGGGAAGAAGGUUUUCGGAGCGUAAAGCUCUGUUUGAAGUGAAGAACGAGUGUGAGGUUGGAAAGUUCACGCUGUGACGGUAGCUUACGAGAAAGCGACGGCUAACUACGUG